This 400-nucleotide unclassified non-coding RNA is filed under the name uncultured fungus. RNAcentral describes it as "sequence contains ITS1". The stretch from base 1 to 105 matches the Rfam family "5.8S ribosomal RNA", at positions 50 to 154 of the family's 154-position model. The record is from RNAcentral. Lineage: Eukaryota; Fungi.
GAAAUGCGAUACGUAAUGUGAAUUGCAGAAUUCAGUGAAUCAUCGAAUCUUUGAACGCAUAUUGCGCCUUCUGGUAUUCCGGAGGGCAUGCUUGUUUGAGUAUCAGUAACAACCUCAACUCUUCUUCAUUGCGGAGAAAGAGUUGGAUUUGAGCAUUUCCACAAGUUCGUCUUGGAGGAUUGCUUAAAAUGCAGGUACAGCUGGGACUUCACAUUUCAAUGUCCAAGGCCACAAGCAUUUCUGUCUAGUCCGGUCAAAUGGAUUGUACCUUUUUGCUGCAGCCAAACGAUAGUUGGGGUCCCGAAACGCUGACUGAUGCAGGAUAUAAUUGACAGAUUUCGAGGGGGUUUCCUUUCGCCUUCGAUCUUUGUUUGUUCCACUCGAUCUCAAAUCAAGUAAG